CCUACGGGUGGCAGCAGUGAGGAAUAUUGGUCAAUGGUCGGGAGACUGAACCAGCCAAGCCGCGUGAGGGAUGAAGGUACAGAGUAUCGUAAACCUCUUUUGUCAGGGAACAAAGGCGGGGACGCGUCCCCGGAUGAGUGUACCUGAAGAAAAAGCAUCGGCUCACUCCGUGCGAGCAGCCGCGGUAAUACAGAGGAUGCGAGCGUUAUCCGGAUUGAUUGGGUUAAAAGGGGGCGCAGGCGGUCUGUUAAGUCAGCGGUCAAACCCCGGGGCCCAACCCCGGCCCGCCGUUGAAACUGGCAGUCUCGAGUUGGAGAGAAGUAUGCGGAAUGCGCGGUGUAGCGGUGAAAUGCAUAGAUAUCGCGCAGAACUACGAUUGCGAAGGCAGCAUGCCGGCUCCACACUGACGCUGAGGCACGAAAGCGUGGGUAUCGAACAGGAUUAGAUACCCCUGUAGUC
This 459-nucleotide ribosomal RNA is filed under the name uncultured bacterium. RNAcentral describes it as "partial 16S ribosomal RNA". It matches the Rfam family "Bacterial small subunit ribosomal RNA", at positions 338 to 795 of the family's 1533-position model. The record is from RNAcentral.